Molecule: ribosomal RNA, 472 nt
Filed under: uncultured bacterium
Lineage: Bacteria
Description: bacterial SSU rRNA
Rfam family: Bacterial small subunit ribosomal RNA
Source: RNAcentral
GGAUCCAGACUUUGAUUCUGGCUCAGAACGAACGCUGGCGGCAGGCCUAACACAUGCAAGUCGAGCGCGACCUUCGGGUUGAGCGGCGGACGGGUUAGUAACGCGUGGGAAUAUGCCCGGUACUAAGGAAUAGCCUCUGGAAACGGAGAGUAAUACCUUAUACGCCCUUCGGGGGAAAGAUUCAUCGGUAUCGGAUUAGCCCGCGUUAGAUUAGAUAGUUGGUGGGGUAACGGCCUACCAAGUCUACGAUCUAUAGCUGGUUUUAGAGGAUGAUCAGCAACACUGGGACUGAGACACGGCCCAGACUCCUACGGGAGGCAGCAGUGGGGAAUCUUGGACAAUGGGCGCAAGCCUGAUCCAGCCAUGCCGCGUGAGUGAUGAAGGCCUUAGGGUCGUAAAGCUCUUUCGCCGGAGAUGAUAAUGACAGUAUCUGGUAAAGAAACCCCGGCUAACUCCGUGCCAGCAGCCGCGG